RNAcentral lists this long non-coding RNA (7635 nucleotides) under Salvia miltiorrhiza (redroot sage). Its description in RNAcentral is "long non-coding RNA (SMIL_LNC005236)". Lineage: Eukaryota; Viridiplantae; Streptophyta; Magnoliopsida; Lamiales; Lamiaceae. The record is from RNAcentral.
UCACUCAGCCCAAAUUAACUUUCAUUGGGCUUAAUGUCCAGCCCAUAUUUCUUUGUUUUGUGCCCUUGACUUAGUCAUUGGAUGUGAAAAACAAAACACACGUUUUUGGGGGAAGUGGGCAGAGGCUGAUUUUUGAGUUUUGAACUUUCCUCUCAUCUCCAAAAUAAAAGGAUGCAGCGACUCCAAUCUAAGAUACACAAAAACGGCUAUUCUUCUUCUUUAUAUUAAACACUUCUUCCUCUACAUUCUGGAAUCCUUAUUCUCUACAUAGGCAGCGAAUUUUCUUCUUUCCAGAAUAUAGAUAUACACCUUUCUCUCUUCAAUAAAUUGAAAGCGUCUCCACUCCGUCUUCGGCGAGUGCACGCAAUUGACGGAUUGCUGUGUUAACCUUGGGAAGCGUUCGGCAACGAGACUUGUCACCGGAGGGUCUGCCGAGAUAGCUUUUAAGGCAGCGGUGCGCCGCGACACAGUUUCGAUUCUUGUUUCUCUUUUUAUACUCUGUUUUGCAGGUUGAGGUUUUUUGUCGAGCAGGUGGUGUGCGCAGAGUAUUCUGCCUGUUCCUUGUAUCGCAGCCAAGGUGUGGCUGUUCCAACACGUGCAAUGCACGCGCCCAAUUUAAAAAAAUGAAAAAUCGAAAAUUCGAAUUUAUAUACACUUUUUGACUGCAGCUCCUCGGUCUCCGCACCUUUGACCGACAGAUUUUAAUUUUUUUUUUUUAUUUCCUUCUUCUCUUCUUAAACUACCACUCUUCUUCUUCUCUUCUCCACACCUCUUCUCCUUCUUCCUUCAUCCUUCUUCCUUCUUCUCUUCACACCUGUUCUUCUCCUACAAUUUUCUCCGUCAUGGAUCCACACAACCCUUUCUAUGAUCCAAAUCGGUGCCCUGAUCUCUCCUCCGAUUAUCAUCCCGAUAUGGGAGGAAUCAACUUGGAGGAGAGCCCGCCCGAGGAGGAACCGGUGAGUGCUCAGCAGAGUGUCUCCCCACCAAAAAAAGGCGGCCGGAGGAAGGAAAAGGCCACCAAAAUGAAGCACGACAAACCAAAAGUUUACCGUCACACUUACCUUCCACAGCAUACGGAUCUCAUCGUCCAAAUUUGGGCGGAGGAGACCAACGACUCGAUCCGUGGGACGGAUCAGAAGGGAGAGUCAUAUUGGGGCCGGAUCCGCGAACGUGUGUGCCCCAUCAUCGGCGUCGACCUCGGCAUUAAGCAACUUCAAGGCCACUGGUCCCGGUGAGCGCGGAUGUGCGUCUCUGGGAAGCUGUUUGGGUGGAGACGAGCAACAAUUGGCCGUCCGGUCAUUCGGAUGAUAUGAUUCGUGAAAAGGCCCAAACCAUCUUCAAGGCCAGAAGCCCAACCAAUGCCUCCUUCAAUUUCUGGAACGCGUGGAGAACUCUCCGGCACAAUCCCAAGUUCAAGUCGAUGUACCUCCUUGGAGACGUGCAUGCCUCCAAGAGGACAAAGACUACGGAAGAGGGCGGCUUCACCACCUCGGCGUCGGGCGAGGAGAUCUCUUCUGCUCGGCCCAUUGGCAACAAGGCGGCGAAGGCGGCGGCCAAGGCGGCGAAGGCGGCGGAGAAAGGGAAAGGGAAGGCUGCAGCGUCGCAUACGAGCUCGGAUCCUCCACCAGAAAUUGUGGAGAGGUUGGAUAGGAACGACGCGCAGAUGAGGGCAUUCACCGCCCAGUACCAGCGGAGGAACGAUCUCCGGGAGAGGGAGCUCGAUAUGCAGCUCCUGAACACGGAUACGACGAACAUGACGGACGCACAACGUGCAUUGCACGCGUCCAUGGUCGCCGACGUGCUCAGGCGUCGUGGUCUAUCCUAGGCUUUUAAUUAUGUGAUUUUAAUGAUGUUUUAGGUUUUUAAAUUUUAUGUAUUUUUUUUAUGUUUUAAGUAAUUUUAAUUUAUGUUUAAUCCAGUAUUUAAAUAUGCAAUUUAAAUUAUGCAAUAAAAUUUAAAUGAAAAACAUAAAAUCAAAACUAAUAUUAUCAAGGAGGCUAUCAAGAAACCCCAAUGCAGCAUUACCUACUCAAUAACACAAACACUAUCAAGGAGGCUAUCAAGGAGGCUAUCAAGGAGGUCCCAAUGCGGAUGCUCUAAUGCACGACCUUCUUGAAUUGGGAGAUUUCAUAUAAACAUACAUUACUUUGCUGCCUUCCAAUGAUGAAAACCUCCAAUAAUGAGGAAAAGUACAAUUGGGACAUAUAGAUUUCAUGUUAUUUAGGUGAACAUUUCCUCCAUAUUAACAGAAUGAACAAAAAUUUGAAACUUUAAUUUACAAAGGGUAAAUAUCCAUUAUUACCCCAAUAUUUACGUAAAUCAACGAGAAUGUCUCAAUGCAAAUAUAAUUACAAAAAAGUACUCAACGUUUCAAAAGAAUCAUGUUCGAAAAAAUGUCUCAAUGCAAAUAUAAUUGUAGCUCAUAUUCAUUCUCCUUUUUUCUUGAAUUUAUUUGUUCAUAAUAAAAGGAGUUACGAUCUUCUAUGACUAAAAUGGAGAUUUUAUUCGCUUCUCGCCUGCAAACAUAAUAGUUAAUUAGUUACUAUACANGAAGGGUUAUCUUUGGUCUGUUUGUUCUGAAUGUUGAUUCUGAAAUCGUGAAUGAAAAUGCUUGUUCUUCUGCUUAUUUGAUUGAGUCUUUAGAUGUUUGGCAUGCAAGACUUGGACAUGUUAAUUAUGCUUCUAUUAAGAAACUUCGAAAUAUGGCAUUAAUUCCUGCUUCAAACCAAAAGGACGUUGUUAAAUGUGAAAUAUGUGUUGAAGCGAAAUUUGCUAAAAAAUCAUUUAAGUCUGUGGAACAUAGAUCCUCUGAGCUUCUUGAUUUGAUUCACACGGACUUAGCUGAAUUUAGAAGCACAAUUAGUAAAGGUGGAAAGAUGUACUAUAUUUCAUUUGUGGAUGACUUUUCUCGUUACACUCGUUUGUACCUCUUAAGAACCAAAGAUGAAGCUACUGAUGCGUUUCUUAAGUUUAAGGCAGAAGUAGAAAAUCAAUUGAACAAGAAGAUUAAGAGGUUAAGAUCAGACAGAGGAGGUGAAUAUAGUACUCUUUUCUUGGAAAAUUUCUGUGAACAACAUGGGAUUAUACAUGAAUUUACUGCUCCUUAUUCUCCUGAACAAAAUGGCAUUGCUGAAAGGAAAAAUAGAACUCUCAAGAAUAUGAUCAAUGCUAUGUUGCUUAGUUCUGGUUUGCCUAACAACAUGUGGGGGGAAGCUGCUUUAUCUGCGUGUUAUAUUCUUAAUCGUGUGCCUCACAAGAAACUUGAAAAAACCCCUUAUGAAAUGUGGAAAGGCUUUCAGCCUAACCUGAAAUAUUUAAAAGUGUGGGGGUGCCUUGCUAAAGUGAGAUUAAAUGAUCCAAAACAAGUGAAUGUAGGAUCAAAGACCUUUGAUUGUGUAUUUAUUUGUUAUGCUCAUAAUUCUGCUGCAUAUAGAUUUAUGUCUUUAAGUGAUCAUUCUAUCUAUGAAUCUCGUGAUGCUGAGUUCUUUGAGCAUAUAUUUCCUAUGAAGACUAACACUACUGUUGAGAAUGUUUCGAGUACUUCACAGGAAAAUCAAGCUGAGGCUUCUCAUCGUUCAGCCCAGGAAACUGAGAAAACGUCGGAACCGAGAAGAAGUAAGAGGAGACGAACAGAGACAUCGUUUGGUAACAAUUUCAUUACUUCAUUUGUUGCUGAAUAUUCUGAGAAAAUUGAUGAAUCUGUUGUGUAUGCGUUUCUGCUUGAGGAGGAUCCUCUUACUUAUCAAGCUGCCAUGACUAGUAUAGAUGCUCCACUUUGGAAAGAAGCUGUACAUAGAGGUGGCCACGGUUCGGUUCUCGGUUCGAACCGGAACCGGAACCGCCGGUUCCCGGUUCCAAAAACUGGAACCAGAACCGAACCGAAAAAUAACCCUCACGGUUUCGGUUCCGAACCGUGAACCGGCGGUUCCGAUUCCGGUUCUGAACCGCCGGUUUCGGUUCGAACCGUUAGAACUGUCCGUUUUUUUUUUUAAUGUAAUUUUUAUUAUUUUAUGUAUUGUUGUGUAAAAUUUAAUGAAAUUUGCUUUAAUAAAAUAAAUGACACAAGAAAAUAUAAAGUUCAUAUACAUUAUUUUCUAAAUUGAACUUAUAAUUCAAAGUUAUACCUUACAACUCUUGUAAAUAAAAUUUACAAAUUACAACAUUUGAAUGCUAAAAUAAAAUUAAGGCAAUUUAGUUUACAACUUUUAAUUGGGGAAAAAAAGAAAUAAAGGAAAUAGAACUUGAGCUUCUUUUUCGUUUUUGUUUUCAUUUUUUGCUCGUUUCUUUUUCAUUUUUUUCUAUUUCUAUUUUUUUUAUUUCUAUUCUUCUUUUUUUACAAUAUUUAUUUUACUUUAUUUAUUUCAAAGCAAUUAUUAUUAUGAUAAAAAUAACUAUCAAUAUGAAAAAUUGUAGUAAUAUUUUUUAUAGAUUACCUUUCAUCAUAUUAAUAGUAAAGGAUUUUCUUACGACGAUAAUUAUUUGACCAAAUAUUUUCUUUAUUUUAUUUUAGUAAAUAAUUUUCUUUAUUUUCUUUAUUUUUUCGUUAAUUUUUUAUUUUCACAUUUUUUAUAUUUUUUUCUUUUUUUUUUCUAAUUAUUUCAUCUUUUCUAAAAAUAUUACAUUUAUUCAUAUCAAUUGUUAUUUUUUUCUUACGACAAUAAUUAAAAGGCGGUUCUAGGCACGGUUCCACGGUUCCCGGUUCUAACCGGUUCUAACCGUGGAACCUUCGGUUCACGGUUCCAAGGCGGUUCUGGCACGGUUCCAACCCGGUUCCCGGUUCCGGUUCCGGUUCGGAACCGAGAACCGGCGGUUUGAGAAAUCGGAACCGUAACCGAACCGGCCGAGCACGGUUUCGGUUCCGGUUCGGAACCGUGUAUCACGGUUCCGGUUCCAGAACCCUCCCGGACGGUCCGGUUUUCCGGUUCGGUUCCCGAUUCCGGUUUUUUUGGCCACCUCUAGCUGUACAAAGUGAACUUGAUUCCAUUAAUGAUAAUCAUACUUGGGAAUUUGUUGAUGUGCCUGCUAGUUGCAAACCUAUUAGAACUAAAUGGAUUUUUAGGAAGAAACUAAAACCUGAUGGUUCAGUUGAUAGAUAUAAGGCAAGAUUAGUUGUGGUUGGAUAUUCUCAGAAAAAGGAUGUUGAUUUCUUUGACACUUAUUCUCCUGUUGCUCGAAUCUCUACUAUCAGAACACUAGUUGCUUCAGCUGCUAUUCAUAAUUUGAUUGUGCAUCAAAUGGAUGUGAAAACAACCUUUUUAAAUGGGGAUCUGAAUGAAGAAUUUAUAUUGAACAACCUGAGGGUUUUGUCGUACCUGGGAAAGAACAUAAAGUAUGCAAACUGAAAAAAUCAUUGUAUGGUCUUAAACAAGCCCCUAUUCAGUGGUAUGAAAAGUUUCAUAAUACUAUUCUUUCUAACGGUUUUUCUGUUAAUUGCUCCGAAUCAUGCUUAUAUUCUAAAACCUGUGGAUCAGAUUGCGUGUUAAUAUGCUUAUAUGUGGAUGACAUGUUAAUUUUUGGUACGUAUCUGAACAUUGUGUUGGAGACAAAAGCUUAUUUAUCUUCUGUCUUUGAUAUGAAAGAUAUGGGUGAAGCUGAUGUUAUCCUCGGGAUAAAAUUGAUUAAAUCUGAGCAUGGUUAUGCAUUGAGUCAGUCUCAUUAUGUGGAACAAGUCCUCAAAUGCUUUGAUUGCAAUGAAUUAGUUCUUGUGAAAACUUCUUAUGAUUCUAGUUUACAAUUGAAAAAGAAUCUUGGUGAAUUCGUUUCUCAAGAACGUUAUGCUAGAAUUUUAGGGAGUGUGAUGUACUUGAUGAACUGCACUAGGCCUGAUAUUGCAUAUGAUGUGAGCCGUUUGAGUCGAUAUACACAUAAUCCUAGUAAUGAUCAUUGGUUUGCACUUUAUCGUUUGCUGAGAUAUCUUAAGGGAACUGUUUAUUAUUGUUUACAUUACUCUAAAUAUCCUAAUGUGUUAGAAGGUUAUUGUGAUGCAAACUGGGUAUCAGACAGUGAUGAGGUAAGCUCCACGAGUGGAUAUGUAUUCACUCUUGGAGAUGGUGCAAUUUCUUGGAAAUCUGGAAAACAAACUUGUAUUGCAGGUUCUACGAUGGAAUUUGAAUUCAUAGCAUUAGAGCUGGCGAGUCAUGAGGCGAAGUGGUUGCGAGAACUGUUGGUAGAUGUGUCGUUGGGUAAGAGGUCUCAGGCACCUAUUUCUCUUCAUUGUGACUCACAAGCUGCCAUCUCUAUUGCUAAAAACAGUGUCUACAAUGGAAAGAGGAGACACAUUCGGCUAAGACAUGCAGUGGUGAGAGAAAUGCUUAGUGAUGGAGUCAUUUCUUUAGACUUUGUGAGGUCUAAGAAAAACUUGGCUGACCCAUUCACUAAAGCACUCAUCAAGAGGCAAGUGCAAGAGCUUUCAGCUGGAAUUGGAAUGAAGUCAUUGAAUGGAAAGCUAACUGUGGAUACCUAAAGGCAAGAAACCAGUGAGCUUUAUUCAUUUAUAGCUUUUAUGUAAUAAACUGUGUUGUUCUACUGCGGAGAACAUUGGCCAUAGAUGAAUCAUCACCUGUUGAAGGUAUUUCCACUGCGGUGGAUUUUUGAUUGUACUAUGAUUUAGGUUGACAUUUGGCUCUUAAUGAUUCUUGCAGUGUGUUUUGCGAAACACUUCGAUAUAUUAUAUGCGUAUAUAUAUUUAGUGCGUGGCGAUUGCACUUCAUAGAAUCACCUAAGUGUUGUGAAGAGUGGCUCUCUUCAUGGAAUUAUUUCCUAGAGCAUACAGAGAUCCAAGGUGUUGUUAUACCAAAAUUGUUUUAUCGCGGAGACGUAACCUUUAAGGAAUGAUGUGUGUUGUGGGGACCAACAUGUGAUUUUAUAAAGUUCAAGUAGCAAUACACCUUAUGAGAUUCACAUGUUUUCUCACUACACUAAUAUACAAAUUCAAUCGCAAGAUUAUUUGUAUUUAUGCAUCAAUGUUCCUCUUGUUCCAUCUUUUGUUGUAUUCCAUUUGUGGGGGAUUGUUGCAGGGAAUGAAACACAACAUUUCAGCCCAUAAAAGCCAUUUAAUGGGCUUAAAGCUUGGCCCAUAUCUGCUCAUUUUAAUGUGCCCUAGACUCAUUCUUUGUGCUGAAAAUUAGCAACUAACGUUUGAAAUGGGAUAGUGGGUUAAACCAUUAUUUAUUCUUCUUCUGCUGAAAACAAAAACACACGAACAGAGAGAGUUCUGUUCCCCACUUCAAAAACAAGAGCUGCUACUUUCUUCCAUAAUAUACCACUCAUACUCUUAUUCUUUCUUCACUCUCAAUAAAAGCGUCUCCACUCCGUCUUCUAUGAGUGCACGUAAUUGACGGAUUGCUGUGUUAACCUUGGGAAGCAUUCGGCAUCGAGACUUGACACCGGAGGGUCUGCCGAGAUAGCUUUUAAGGCAGCGGUGCGCCGCGACACAGUUUCGGUUCUUGUUUCUCUUCUUCUACUCUGUUUUGCAGGUUCAGGGUUUUCAUCGAACAGUUGGCGUGCAUCUCCAAAUUCAGCCUGUUGCUUCCUUUCUUUGCUGAGCAUUGACGUAGCUUUGUUCCAACAGUUGGGUCGCGUAUUCCGCAUUAAGGCUCGGGUCAACCGGGUUCUGUUUGCUGAAAUUGUAUAUUC